UGGGUAGGGGAGCGUUCUGUAAGCCUGUGAAGGUGUGCUGUGAGGCAUGCUGGAGGUAUCAGAAGUGCGAAUGCUGACAUAAGUAACGAUAAAGCGGGUGAAAAGCCCGCUCGCCGGAAGACCAAGGGUUCCUGUCCAACGUUAAUCGGGGCAGGGUGAGUCGACCCCUAAGGCGAGGCCGAAAGGCGUAGUCGAUGGGAAACAGGUUAAUAUUCCUGUACUUGGUGUUACUGCGAAGGGGGGACGGAGAAGGCUAUGUUGGCCGGGCGACGGUUGUCCCGGUUUAAGCGUGUAGGCUGGUUUUCCAGGCAAAUCCGGAAAAUCAAGGCUGAGGCGUGAUGACGAGGCACUACGGUGCUGAAGCAACAAAUGCCCUGCUUCCAGGAAAAGCCUCUAAGCAUCAGGUAACAUCAAAUCGUACCCCAAACCGACACAGGUGGUCAGGUAGAGAAUACCAAGGCGCUUGAGAGAACUCGGGUGAAGGAACUAGGCAAAAUGGUGCCGUAACUUCGGGAGAAGGCACGCUGAUAUGUAGGUGAAGUCCCUCGCGGAUGGAGCUGAAAUCAGUCGAAGAUACCAGCUGGCUGCAACUGUUUAUUAAAAACACAGCACUGUGCAAACACGAAAGUGGACGUAUACGGUGUGACGCCUGCCCGGUGCCGGAAGGUUAAUUGAUGGGGUCAGCGCAAGCGAAGCUCUUGAUCGAAGCCCCGGUAAACGGCGGCCGUAACUAUAACGGUCCUAAGGUAGCGAAAUUCCUUGUCGGGUAAGUUCCGACCUGCACGAAUGGCGUAAUGAUGGCCAGGCUGUCUCCACCCGAGACUCAGUGAAAUUGAACUCGCUGUGAAGAUGCAGUGUACCCGCGGCAAGACGGAAAGACCCCGUGAACCUUUACUAUAGCUUGACACUGAACAUUGAGCCUUGAUGUGUAGGAUAGGUGGGAGGCUUUGAAGUGUGGACGCCAGUCUGCAUGGAGCCGACCUUGAAAUACCACCCUUUAAUGUUUGAUGUUCUAACGUUGACCCGUAAUCCGGGUUGCGGACAGUGUCUGGUGGGUAGUUUGACUGGGGCGGUCUCCUCCUAAAGAGUAACGGAGGAGCACGAAGGUUGGCUAAUCCUGGUCGGACAUCAGGAGGUUAGUGCAAUGGCAUAAGCCAGCUUGACUGCGAGCGUGACGGCGCGAGCAGGUGCGAAAGCAGGUCAUAGUGAUCCGGUGGUUCUGAAUGGAAGGGCCAUCGCUCAACGGAUAAAAGGUACUCCGGGGAUAACAGGCUGAUACCGCCCAAGAGUUCAUAUCGACGGCGGUGUUUGGCACCUCGAUGUCGGCUCAUCACAUCCUGGGGCUGAAGUAGGUCCCAAGGGUAUGGCUGUUCGCCAUUUAAAGUGGUACGCGAGCUGGGUUUAGAACGUCGUGAGACAGUUCGGUCCCUAUCUGCCGUGGGCGCUGGAGAACUGAGGGGGGCUGCUCCUAGUACGAGAGGACCGGAGUGGACGCAUCACUGGUGUUCGGGUUGUCAUGCCAAUGGCACUGCCCGGUAGCUAAAUGCGGAAGAGAUAAGUGCUGAAAGCAUCUAAGCACGAAACUUGCCCCGAGAUGAGUUCUCCCUGACUCCUUGAGAGUCCUGAAGGAACGUUGAAGACGACGACGUUGAUAGGCCGGGUGUGUAAGCGCAGCGAUGCGUUGAGCUAACCGGUACUAAUGAACCGUGAGGCUUAACCUU
Molecule: ribosomal RNA, 1721 nt
Filed under: Escherichia coli O104:H4 str. 11-02093
Lineage: Bacteria; Pseudomonadati; Pseudomonadota; Gammaproteobacteria; Enterobacterales; Enterobacteriaceae
Description: bacterial LSU rRNA
Rfam family: Bacterial large subunit ribosomal RNA
Source: RNAcentral